GACGGUGAGGGACGAAAGCUGGGGGCACGAACCGGAUUAGAUACCCGGGUAGUCCCAGCCGUAAACGAUGCUCGCUAGGUGUCAGGCAUGGCGCGACCGUGUCUGGUGCCGCAGGGAAGCCGUGAAGCGAGCCACCUGGGAAGUACGGCCGCAAGGCUGAAACUUAAAGGAAUUGGCGGGGGAGCACAACAACGGGUGGAGCCUGCGGUUUAAUUGGACUCAACGCCGGACAACUCACCGGGGACGACAGCAAAAUGUAGGCCAGGCUGAAGACCUUGCCUGAAUCGCUGAGAGGAGGUGCAUGGCCGUCGCCAGUUCGUACUGUGAAGCAUCCUGUUAAGUCAGGCAACGC
RNAcentral lists this ribosomal RNA (352 nucleotides) under Methanosarcina sp. enrichment culture clone BER1_CD. RNAcentral's name for it is "bacterial SSU rRNA". It matches the Rfam family "Archaeal small subunit ribosomal RNA", at positions 693 to 1044 of the family's 1478-position model. The record is from RNAcentral. Lineage: Archaea; Methanobacteriati; Methanobacteriota; Methanomicrobia; Methanosarcinales; Methanosarcinaceae.